GAUGAACGCUGGCGGCGUGCCUAAUACAUGCAAGUCGAGCGAACGGACGAGAAGCUUGCUUCUCUGAUGUUAGCGGCGGACGGGUGAGUAACACGUGGAUAACCUACCUAUAAGACUGGGAUAACUUCGGGAAACCGGAGCUAAUACCGGAUGAUAUUUUGAACCGCAUGGUUCAAAAGUGAAAGACGGUCUUGCUGUCACUUAUAGAUGGAUCCGCGCUGCAUUAGCUAGUUGGUAAGGUAACGGCUUACCAAGGCAACGAUGCAUAGCCGACCUGAGAGGGUGAUCGGCCACCCUGGAACUGAGACCCGGUCCAGACUCCUACGGGAGGCAGCAGUAGGGAAUCUUCCGCAAUGGGCGAAAGCCUGACGGAGCAACGCCGCGUGAGUGAUGAAGGUCUUCGGAUCGUAAAACUCUGUUAUUAGGGAAGAACAUAUGUGUAAGUAACUGUGCACAUCUUGACGGUACCUAAUCAGAAAGCCACGGCUAACUACGUG
RNAcentral lists this ribosomal RNA (497 nucleotides) under uncultured bacterium. RNAcentral's name for it is "partial 16S ribosomal RNA". It matches the Rfam family "Bacterial small subunit ribosomal RNA", at positions 28 to 507 of the family's 1533-position model. The record is from RNAcentral.